This is a long non-coding RNA of Xiphophorus couchianus (Monterrey platyfish), 3033 nucleotides long. RefSeq lists it as uncharacterized. The transcript is spliced from 2 exons. The record is from RefSeq and is a predicted model, not a curated record. NCBI's taxonomy places the organism in Eukaryota, Metazoa, Chordata, Actinopteri, Cyprinodontiformes, Poeciliidae.
UAUAUUAAUUAGUCUUGAGACACGUGGGGAAAAAAAGUCUAAAGUAUAAAACAGCUGUGAUUAGAAUUUAAAAAGCUGCAAUUCGGAGUUAUUUUUAUUACCAAUAACUCAUGAAAAGCUAGAUUUUUCUAAACUUUACAGUGCUACUAUCUCCUGCAAAGCUUUUAAAACAACUUCAUCAAUAAAUUGCUUUGCUUAUUUUGAGAAAAUUUAAUUAGUAUCGAAUUAGACAUGUUACUUUAUGUACAACUAUGGUUCAAAGGAAGAAAUUUUUUACUUCUCUGUUCAAAUUUGAGAUUUAGACACUUAAAAAAUAUUUUCUACAUAAAUAUUUGUGUGAAGUAGCAAAGGUUUAGCGUUUUAUCAGCUGAAUUUGAUGAAAUAAUUUUCUCUGGAUGGAAGCACUUAGUGCUGUCUGCCCAACAGGAGACAAAUGAUCAGUGAGUUCAGACUAUUUGGUGUGAUGGAGAGAAAAAUGAGCUCAGCUGAGGAAUCCAGUUUGCUGUUUCCAGAUAAAUACAAACCGGCAGCUGCACACGCCUUUGUUCGUGUUUACAAUACACAGAUAAUCCUGUUGGGUCUCCAUUCACCUCGCCCGGUUUAUGUACUAUAAUGACCAGCUCGCUGUGCGUAAUCCUGUUUAUUACACAUCUAAAUUACCGAAAUGAGCUGCUGUACUUCCCUUUAUUAGCUACGCCAGCCGUUACUGUAGCUUUCUCUUUCACCGGUUUAUAAUGUAACCUGGAGAUCAGACCAGAAUAUUCAAUUGGAUAAUAACUACUGUAGUGCUUCACCUUCAUCACCACUGCUCCUCCUCUCCCGCAGUUCUGCAGUGCUUUGCAUGUUUAUUACGGAGAUGCUGCUCGAGGCUUCAGCUGAGGAGAGCAGCGGCUCUGUCUGAACAGUUUCUAUGGGAUGAUCAAACAGUCUUUAGUGUCUGCGUGGGGCUGUCAGGAAGUGUUUCCUGUUGAGGAUUGCUUGUCUUUACAUUCCUGAUUAGAAGCAGGUGAAAACGGCUCUAGUUUGUUGUCCUGAAGUAACGUUCUUGGGUUUCAGCUCACCCUCUUGAAGCUAAGGUCGGAAUGAAUGUCAAUGAAAGCCAGUCUGGCAUCUUUAUAAGCAAAGCUUUCUCCGGAGCGUCUGGAGAGACUUGCAGUCUUCUUGCCCUUUUGUUCUCUCAUUUUCAGCUCCGCUGUGCUCCAAAAGACAGCGGAGCAGCUCAGUACGGAGAAAUUGUCAUAUUGAGUAAAAUUCAUGUCACUGCGAAAACAACCAAAGGCAAACAAUGAUAAUUUAAUCACUUACAGCCAGAUACAAACUGAAGAUUGAUAGUGUGAGCAGGGGUGAGGACGACAUUCACAAGGUUGUUUAUUGAUGGGUUAUGGAGUCAGACGGAAAUGCAAUGUUGUUAGAUCAGAACGGUAAGGAGACUUAACUUUUGUUACAAAAUUGGAAAUACUUAAAGCACUCACAAAACUCUGAGCUAAAUCCUGGUUUGAUUGGAAGGUGCCAAUUAAGUGAUUAUCAGUGAGAGCAGCUCUAAAAACACUAGUGUGAUUGGAGGCUUUCUGGUUGUCAAGAUGGAGGGACAUCAACAAUGGUGCCCAUUACAAAUAGGCCUGUUGUGGUAACAAAUUUUGCUGGGUGAUUGUCCCAGAAAUGUUUGUGAUCAGCAAUAAUAUUUUAUUAAAACAAUUUUCAAGUAACAUAAUAGUAAUGGAAAUAUAUUGCAACUUUGCCCUCUCAAAACUUUUAAUUUCUAAGGAACAUGUAACAGGAACUGGUUUAGGGACAUUUUAAGUAUAAAAAAUAAAUAAAACGACAUACAAGAUGGAUACUUAUAUUACCAGACUAUACUGUUUAGUCAUUUUAUGGUAUGAUAUAUUCCAGAAAGCUGUCCUGAUGUAAGCCGAUGCUUGGAGAAAUACUAGAAAGGAAAAAAACCUUAAACUUUGAUCUUUAAAGAAUAUGGCAGUGUGAUUUAGCACAUCAUGAAAUGGAAAACACUUUCCACCAUCUGUAGAGCAUGAUGGAGGAAUGAUGGUUUGAGCAAUGUCAUUGAGUAAUUAGCAAUUAGUAAUUGAGCAAUUAGUCAUUGAGUAAACCAUGACUAAAGUAUUUUGAGAAAUGAGUCAACAGGAUAAUGAUCCCAACUACAACAAAUCUACAGCAGAUUGACUGAAAAAAAUAGAUUAGACCUUAAGCUUUGUUAGGAAGCAGUGGUUCUACAGACCUCCUCUAAAUGUUGAACUUGAUCCAACAUGCAGUGACAUGCUGCAGCCUGCAAGUCAGCUGAUGAUGUGGCAGCAGGGAAGCAUGCAGGGUUGUAGUGAAAAUCAACCAAAAAGUAUCAGAAUGAGGUGAAAUGAAAUCAUUUAUUGCUGCUGAUUGCAGAUUCACUGGAACCUGAAUCAUGACUGAAGCUUCAAAUACAAGUGGACAAACAAAGCUCUGCAUAUAUUUUAAAAUUUCAUUCACACAAUAAAUAUGAAUAGUUAAUGAGUGUAAACGUGUAUCUUUCCCCUUUGGCGAUGGGAUGAAUGACUCCGUCUAAAACGUGCACAAUCCUCUAUAGGCUCGGUUCUGGUCUGCAGGUGAACUAAAUUCAACCAGUACUUCUGGGGCCAUUUACUGUUAAAGACUUGUAAAGACCUGAAACAAAAGCUGCAAGUAAAUGUAAUCAUUAUAUAGUAAUUUAUUAAUUUUGGCGGAUGUUUUUCUUUUUUUCUGAAGGGCAAUGUACAGCUUUUACCAGAGCCAUAGUACAAUACUUUAUAAUUAUACAACAUUUACAUGUGCAUUUGGGUUUUAUACAUCAAACGACGGGUGAGCCGUGAAAAGAGGAACACGGAGUGAACGUGGUUCAACACAGGCACAGGAGACAAAGCAAAAUAACUGAUUAGCCAAUAGAAAACUAUAAAUACAGAGUGUGGUAACAGCUCAUGGACUGACCAAAUAUCAUCAAAGCAAAGGCUUCAAAAAAUAGUCAUUCGCCUCAAUAACCAAACAGAACAGACUCGUUAACGAUGGGAG